Molecule: long non-coding RNA, 470 nt
Filed under: Androctonus crassicauda
Lineage: Eukaryota; Metazoa; Arthropoda; Arachnida; Scorpiones; Buthidae
Source: RNAcentral
GGCUGAGGCACAUUUUUUUUUAAUGAAAUAGUUAAAAAUUAUAGUUUAGUUAUUAAUUCAUAACUUUUACAUCUAAAAGUUUGUUCAAAUGGCUUAUUUCACAUUUUUGUUGUUUGUGAAAUGGUGCCAACCAGCAUCUUCAAAGCUGAAGAAAAAUCAUGAUUGUAGGGGAGAUAGUCAAGCUAUUCCCACCCAAACUUGGCAAUAUGAUUUGUUGUUGCUGCCUACCAUAAGGGGUCUCAUGUUGUCAUCAAGGAGUGUGGAACCACAUAUGCCUCAUGCCCAUUCAUAGUAGAUAGCUGCUUACUCUUCAUCUUUCAUCCACAUCUCACCACAUCUGCAACACACAUCUAUUCACUAUAUUAUCUUCAAAUAUUUUACCAUAUAUCUACUAUCUCAAAAAAUAUAUACUAUAUAAGCAAAACUUGUUUUCAGACUAUCCUUCAUAAAAUUCUAAUAUAAAACUGGUC